Non-coding RNA from Pelagophyceae sp. CCMP2097, 95 nucleotides. Lineage: Eukaryota; Pelagophyceae. The record is from the annotation of a GenBank genome assembly.
UUCAACGAGGCCGAGCGGUUAAGGCGAGUGACUCGAAUGGAUAACUACUGACUCAGAGAGUCUCUUAUGCGCAGGUUCGAGUCCUGCCGUUGUCG